RNAcentral lists this ribosomal RNA (609 nucleotides) under Ceratobothrium xanthocephalum. RNAcentral's name for it is "SSU rRNA". It matches the Rfam family "Eukaryotic small subunit ribosomal RNA", at positions 1292 to 1785 of the family's 1831-position model. The record is from RNAcentral. Lineage: Eukaryota; Metazoa; Platyhelminthes; Cestoda; Phyllobothriidea; Phyllobothriidae.
CCUUAGUUGGUGGACCAAUUUGUCUGGUUAAUUCCGAUAACGAACGAGACUCCAGCCUGCUAAUUAGUGCAUCUGUCCACUGUUCCUGUGUAGGCGGCGUUUGGCAAGGCUGCUGCUGUCUGCUGCUUGGUGGUUGAUGAACCUUCGGGGGAGUUACUGCCGAGUGGCUUUGUGGUGGCUGGUCCUGCGUUAGCUUCCGGGUACGGCGCGGGUGCUUACUUCUUAGAGGGACAAGCGGGAGAAGCCGCACGAAAUUGAGCAAUAACAGGUCUGUGAUGCCCUUAGAUGUCCGGGGCCGCACGCGCGCUACAAUGACGGUGCCAACGAGUCUGACCCCCUGGCCCGAAAGGGUUGGGUAAACUGGUCAAUCACCGUCAUGACAGGGAUCGGGGCUUGGAAUUGUUCCCCGUGAACGAGGAAUUCCUAGUAAGUGCAAGUCAUAAGCUUGCGCUGAUUACGUCCCUGCCCUUUGUACACACCGCCCGUCGCUACUACCGAUUGAAUGGUUUAGUAAGGUCCUUGGAUUGGCGCCAUUGUGGUGGUUACCGAAAGGUGGCUGCCCGACAGGUGCUGAGAAGACGACCAAACUUGAUCAUUUAGAGNAAGUAA